CCUACGGGUGGCAGCAGUGGGGAAUAUUGCACAAUGGGCGAAAGCCUGAAGCAGCAACGCCGCGUGAGCGAUGAAGGCCUUCGGGGCGUAAAACUCUGUCCUCAAGGAAGAUAAUGACGGUACGUGAGGGGGAAGCCCCGGCUAACUACGUGCCAGCAGCCGCGGUAAUACGUAGGGGGCGGGCGUUAUCCGGAGUUACUGGGCGUAAAGGGUGCGUAGGUGGUUUCUUAAGUCAGAGGUGAAAGGCUACGGCUCAACCGUAGUAAGCCUUUGAAACUGGGAAACUUGAGUGCAGGAGAGGAGAGUGGAAUGCCUAGUGUAGCGGUGAAAUGCGUAGAUAUUAGGAGGAACACCAGUUGCGAAGGCGGCGCUCUGGACUGUAACUGACACUGAGGCACGAAGGCGUGGGGAGCAAACAGGAUUAGAUACCCGGGUAGUC
This 439-nucleotide ribosomal RNA is filed under the name uncultured bacterium. RNAcentral describes it as "partial 16S ribosomal RNA". It matches the Rfam family "Bacterial small subunit ribosomal RNA", at positions 338 to 795 of the family's 1533-position model. The record is from RNAcentral.